RNAcentral lists this ribosomal RNA (1521 nucleotides) under uncultured bacterium. RNAcentral's name for it is "bacterial SSU rRNA". It matches the Rfam family "Bacterial small subunit ribosomal RNA". The record is from RNAcentral.
AGAGUUUGAUCCUGGCUCAGAACGAACGCUGGCGGCGUGCUUAACACAUGCAAGUCGAACGCGAAAGUUUUCUUCGGAAGACGAGUAGAGUGGCGCACGGGUGAGUAACGCGUAAGAAAUCUGCGUAAGUUAUCUACCUCGGCAUCUGGAAUAACUCACCGAAAGGUGUGCUAAUACCGGAUACGUUGAGUAAUCAAGAAAGGUGGCCUCUGAAUAUGCUACUGUGCUGAGAUGAGCUUGCGUACCAUUAGCUAGUUGGUAGGGUAAUGGCCUACCAAGGCAACGAUGGUUAGCGGGUCUGAGAGGAUGAUCCGCCACACUGGAACUGAAACACGGACCAGACUCCUACGGGAGGCAGCAGUGAGGAAUAUUGCGCAAUGGGGGCAACCCUGACGCAGCGACGCCGCGUGAGUGAAGAAGGCCUUUGGGUCGUAAAGCUCUGUCAAUCGGGAAGAAGUUACAGGUGUCCAAUAGGCAUUUGUAUUGACGGUACCGGUGAAGGAAGCAUCGGCUAACUCCGUGCCAGCAGCCGCGGUAAUACGGGGGAUGCAAGCGUUAUUCGGAAUUAUUGGGCGUAAAGGGCGCGUAGGCGGUUUUGUCGGUCAGAUGUGAAAGCCCAGGGCUCAACCCUGGACGUGCAUUUGAAACAGCAAGACUUGAGUACGGGAGAGGAAAGCGGAAUUCCUGGUGUAGAGGUGAAAUUCGUAGAUAUCAGGAGGAACACCGAUGGCGAAGGCAGCUUUCUGGACCGAUACUGACGCUGAGGCGCGAAGGCGUGGGUAGCGAACAGGAUUAGAUACCCUGGUAGUCCACGCAGUAAACGAUGAUAACUAGGUGUAGCGGAUAUUAAAAUCUGCUGCGCCCAAGCUAACGCAUUAAGUGUACCGCCUGGGGAGUACGGUCGCAAGACUAAAACUCAAAGGAAUUGACGGGGGCCCGCACAAGCGGUGGAGCAUGUGGUUUAAUUCGACGCAACGCGAAGAACCUUACCUGGGUUUGACAUCCUGUGAAUCUUGUAGAGAUACGAGAGUGCCUUCGGGAGCACAGAGACAGGUGCUGCAUGGCUGUCGUCAGCUCGUGUCGUGAGAUGUUUGGUUAAGUCCAGCAACGAGCGCAACCCUUAUCUUUAGUUGCCAGCACAUCAUGGUGGGAACUCUAAAGAGACUGCCCGGGUCAACCGGGAGGAAGGUGGGGAUGACGUCAAGUCCUCAUGGCCCUUAUGUCCAGGGCUACACACGUGCUACAAUGGCCGGUACAAAGGGCAGCAACACAGCGAUGUGAAGCCAAUCCCAUAAAGCCGGUCUCAGUCCGGAUUGGAGUCUGCAACUCGACUCCAUGAAGUUGGAAUCGCUAGUAAUCGUGGAUCAGCACGCCACGGUGAAUACGUUCCCGGGCCUUGUACACACCGCCCGUCACACCACGAAAGUCGGUUGUACCAGAAGACGUUGAGCUGGGCUAACUUUGAGAGGCAGGCGCCUAAGGUAUGGUCGAUAACUGGGGUGAAGUCGUAACAAGGUAACC